This 459-nucleotide ribosomal RNA is filed under the name uncultured Burkholderiales bacterium. RNAcentral's name for it is "bacterial SSU rRNA". It matches the Rfam family "Bacterial small subunit ribosomal RNA", at positions 341 to 792 of the family's 1533-position model. The record is from RNAcentral. Lineage: Bacteria; Pseudomonadati; Pseudomonadota; Betaproteobacteria; Burkholderiales.
ACGGGAGGCAGCAGUGGGGAAUUUUGGACAAUGGGCGCAAGCCUGAUCCAGCAAUGCCGCGUGAGUGAAGAAGGCCUUCGGGUUGUAAAGCUCUUUUGUCAGGGAAGAAACGGUAGAGGCUAAUAUCCUUUGCUAAUGACGGUACCUGAAGAAUAAGCACCGGCUAACUACGUGCCAGCAGCCGCGGUAAUACGUAGGGUGCAAGCGUUAAUCGGAAUUACUGGGCGUAAAGCGUGCGCAGGCGGUUUUGUAAGUCUGUCGUGAAAUCCCCGGGCUCAACCUGGGAAUUGCGAUGGAGACUGCAAGGCUAGAAUCUGGCAGAGGGGGGUAGAAUUCCACGUGUAGCAGUGAAAUGCGUAGAGAUGUGGAGGAACACCGAUGGCGAAGGCAGCCCCCUGGGUCAAGAUUGACGCUCAUGCACGAAAGCGUGGGGAGCAAACAGGAUUAGAUACCCUGGUA